CCUACGGGAGGCAGCAGUGAGGAAUAUUGGUCAAUGGACGGAAGUCUGAACCAGCCAUGCCGCGUGCAGGAAGACGGCUCUAUGAGUUGUAAACUGCUUUUGUACAAGGGUAAACCUGAAUACGUGUAUUCCGCUGAAAGUACUGUACGAAUAAGGAUCGGCUAACUCCGUGUCAGCAGCCGCGGUAAUACGGAGGAUCCAAGCGUUAUCCGGAUUUAUUGGGUUUAAAGGGUGCGUAGGCGGAUUGAUAAGUUAGAGGUGAAAUGUCCGAGCGUAACUCGGGAACUGCCUCUAAUACUGUUGAUCUAGAGAGUAGAUGCGGUAGGCGGAAUGUAUGGUGUAGCGGUGAAAUGCUUAGAGAUCAUACAGAACACCGAUUGCGAAGGCAGCUUACCAAUCUAUAUCUGACGUUGAGGCACGAAAGCGUGGGGAGCAAACAGGAUUAGAUACCCUUGUAGUC
Molecule: ribosomal RNA, 460 nt
Filed under: uncultured bacterium
Lineage: Bacteria
Description: partial 16S ribosomal RNA
Rfam family: Bacterial small subunit ribosomal RNA
Source: RNAcentral